This 615-nucleotide ribosomal RNA is filed under the name Helotiales sp. JCM 28406. RNAcentral's name for it is "eukaryotic LSU rRNA". It matches the Rfam family "Eukaryotic large subunit ribosomal RNA", at positions 38 to 667 of the family's 3401-position model. The record is from RNAcentral. Lineage: Eukaryota; Fungi; Ascomycota; Leotiomycetes; Helotiales.
GCAUAUCAAUAAGCGGAGGAAAAGAAACCAACAGGGAUUACCUCAGUAACGGCGAGUGAAGCGGUAACAGCUCAAAUUUGAAAGCUCGCUCUUUUAGGGUGCGCAUUGUAAUUUGUAGAAGAUGCUUCGGGUGUGGCCCCGGUCUAAGUUCCUUGGAACAGGACGUCAUAGAGGGUGAGAAUCCCGUAUGUGACUGGGUGCUUUCGCUCAUGUGAAGCUCUUUCGACGAGUCGAGUUGUUUGGGAAUGCAGCUCAAAAUGGGUGGUAAAUUUCAUCUAAAGCUAAAUAUUGGCCAGAGACCGAUAGCGCACAAGUAGAGUGAUCGAAAGAUGAAAAGCACUUUGGAAAGAGAGUUAAACAGUACGUGAAAUUGUUGAAAGGGAAGCGCUUGCAACCAGACUUGCGCGCUGACGAUCAUCCGGGCUUCUGCCCGGUGCACUCGUCUGUGCUCAGGCCAGCAUCGGUUUCGGUGGUGGGAUAAAGGCCUUGGGAAUGUAGCUUCUUUCGGGGAGUGUUAUAGCCCUCGGUGCAAUGCCGCCUACCGGGACCGAGGACCGCGCUUCGGCUAGGAUGCUGGCGUAAUGGUUGUAAGCGACCCGUCUUGAAACACGGACC